Molecule: ribosomal RNA, 265 nt
Filed under: uncultured archaeon
Lineage: Archaea
Description: partial 16S ribosomal RNA
Rfam family: Archaeal small subunit ribosomal RNA
Source: RNAcentral
AGUCACUGACAUUAGAUACCCCUGUAGUCCCAGCCGUAAACAGUGUGCGUUAGGUAUGUCGGUAACCACGUGUUACUGAUGUGCCGAAGAGAAAUCGUGAAACGCACCACCUGGGAAGUACGGUCGCAAGGCUGAAACUUAAAGGAAUUGGCGGGGGAGCACCACAACAGGUGGAGCCUGCGGUUUAAUUGGAUUCAACGCCGGACAUCUCACCGGAUAAGACAGCUGAAUGAUUGUCAAUCUGAAGGUUUUACAUGACUAGCUG